UAAGUGAAUUCUCACAAGGUGUUUGCUGGG
Molecule: non-coding RNA, 30 nt
Filed under: Mus musculus (house mouse)
Lineage: Eukaryota; Metazoa; Chordata; Mammalia; Rodentia; Muridae
Source: RNAcentral